This 72-nucleotide transfer RNA is filed under the name Bos taurus (domestic cattle). It matches the Rfam family "tRNA". Rfam says of the family: Transfer RNA (tRNA) molecules are approximately 80 nucleotides in length. Their secondary structure includes four short double-helical elements and three loops (D, anti-codon, and T loops). Lineage: Eukaryota; Metazoa; Chordata; Mammalia; Artiodactyla; Bovidae. RNAcentral also lists the same sequence under 2 other names. The record is from Rfam by way of RNAcentral.
UCCCAGGUGGUCCAGUGGCUAGGACUCGGCACUUUCACUGCUAUGGCCUGGGUUCCGUCCCUGGUGUGGGAA